RNAcentral lists this long non-coding RNA (220 nucleotides) under Malus domestica (apple). RNAcentral describes it as "long non-coding RNA (MDOM_LNC000407)". The record is from RNAcentral. Lineage: Eukaryota; Viridiplantae; Streptophyta; Magnoliopsida; Rosales; Rosaceae.
GAGGCCGGCCACUUAGAGAGGAUUUAGCUAGCAAUCUUUUCUUCUCUAAGUCAUCCAUUUCAUCUUCACAUCUCAUCCUUGGUGUGGAGACUUAGAGACACCAAACCUUUGGUGUUUUUGGAGAUCCUUUCCUUACAUCCUCAAGGAGCAAAGGAGCACAAAAGGGAAGGAAAUCACAAGGAAGAUCCAAGGAACUAGGAGGUGACUUGAAGGCCCUCCA